This 253-nucleotide ribosomal RNA is filed under the name uncultured bacterium. Its description in RNAcentral is "partial 16S ribosomal RNA". It matches the Rfam family "Bacterial small subunit ribosomal RNA", at positions 524 to 776 of the family's 1533-position model. The record is from RNAcentral.
UACGGGGGGGGCAAGCGUUGUUCGGAAUUACUGGGCGUAAAGGGCUCGUAGGCGGCCAACUAAGUCAGACGUGAAAUCCCCAGGCUCAACCGGGGAACUGCGUCUGAUACUGGAUGGCUAGAGGUUGGGAGAGGGAUGCGGAAUUCCAGGUGUAGCGGUGAAAUGCGUAGAUAUCUGGAGGAACACCGGUGGCGAAGGCGGCAUCCUGGACCGGCAUUGACGCUGAGGCGCGAAAGCUAGGGGAGCAAACGGG